This is a long non-coding RNA of Coregonus clupeaformis (lake whitefish), 158 nucleotides long. RefSeq lists it as uncharacterized. The transcript has 3 exons. The record is from RefSeq and is a predicted model, not a curated record. Lineage: Eukaryota; Metazoa; Chordata; Actinopteri; Salmoniformes; Salmonidae.
GAAGGCUCCCACUGGACCUACCUCUGAGACCAAUGAAGGACUGGCUCCUGGCAGGGAAAAGAGUCUUCCUGGAGCGUGAGGCAGAGACAUGGAAGAGAUGGAGGAAGGUCUCUGUAGCUGAAUUGACUUGGGAUGCAAAGAGGGGCCUGGAAUUACAG